RNAcentral lists this ribosomal RNA (253 nucleotides) under uncultured bacterium. RNAcentral describes it as "partial 16S ribosomal RNA". It matches the Rfam family "Bacterial small subunit ribosomal RNA", at positions 524 to 776 of the family's 1533-position model. The record is from RNAcentral.
UACAGAGACUGCAAGCGUUAUUCGGAUUCACUGGGCGUAAAGGGUGCGCAGGCGGCCAAGUGUGUGAGGCGUGAAAGCCCGGGGCUUAACCCCGGAAUUGCACCUCAAACUACAUGGCUAGAGCAUUGGAGAGGGUAGCAGAAUUCAUGGUGUAGCAGUGAAAUGCGUAGAUAUCAUGAGGAAUACCAGAGGCGAAGGCGGCUACCUGGACAAUUGCUGACACUCAGGCACGAAAGCGUGGGGAGCAAAAGGG